UACGAAGGGGGCUAGCGUUGCUCGGAAUCACUGGGCGUAAAGCGCACGUAGGCGGAUUGUUAAGUCAGGGGUGAAAUCCUGGAGCUCAACUCCAGAACUGCCUUUGAUACUGGCGAUCUUGAGUCCGGGAGAGGUGAGUGGAACUCCGAGUGUAGAGGUGAAAUUCGUAGAUAUUCGGAAGAACACCAGUGGCGAAGGCGGCUCACUGGACCGGCAUUGACGCUGAUGUGCGAAAGCGUGGGGAGCAAACAGG
This 253-nucleotide ribosomal RNA is filed under the name uncultured bacterium. RNAcentral's name for it is "partial 16S ribosomal RNA". It matches the Rfam family "Bacterial small subunit ribosomal RNA", at positions 524 to 776 of the family's 1533-position model. The record is from RNAcentral.